AGCAGCCGCGGUAAUUCCAGCUCCAAUAGCGUAUAUUAAAGUUGUUGCAGUUAAAAAGCUCGUAGUUGAAUUUCGGGAUUUAUCCGUCGGUCGGGCUUUUGGGUCUGUACUGGCGUGAUGGAUUCCUACCUUCUGAAUAACCGGCAUGUCAUUAAUUUGGUGCGCCGGGGAAGCAGGACUGUUACCUUGAAAAAAUUAGAGUGCUUAAAGCAGGCUUAUGCCUGAAUACAUUAGCAUGGAAUAAUGAAAUAGGACGGCAUGGUUCUAUUUUGUUGGUUUCUAGGAUCACCGUAAUGAUUAAUAGGGAUAGUUGGGGGCAUUAGUAUUCAAUUGUCAGAGGUGAAAUUCUUGGAUUUAUUGAAGACUAACUUCUGCGAAAGCAUUUGCCAAGGAUGUUUUCAUUAAUCAAGAACGAAAGUUAGGGGAUCGAAGACGAUCAGAUACCGUCGUAGUCUUAACCAUAAACUAUGCCGACUAGGGAUCGGACGAUGUUAAUUUUUAAUGACUCGUUCGGCGCCUU
This 520-nucleotide ribosomal RNA is filed under the name uncultured Acaulospora. RNAcentral describes it as "SSU rRNA". It matches the Rfam family "Eukaryotic small subunit ribosomal RNA", at positions 569 to 1089 of the family's 1831-position model. The record is from RNAcentral. Lineage: Eukaryota; Fungi; Glomeromycota; Glomeromycetes; Diversisporales; Acaulosporaceae.